Molecule: ribosomal RNA, 252 nt
Filed under: uncultured bacterium
Lineage: Bacteria
Description: partial 16S ribosomal RNA
Rfam family: Bacterial small subunit ribosomal RNA
Source: RNAcentral
UACGUAGGCAGCAAGCGUUGUUCGGAGUUACUGGGCGUAAAGAGUAUGUAGGCGGUUGCGUAAGUUCGGUGUGAAAUCUCCCGCUUAACUGGGAGGGUGCGCCGAAAACUGCGUGGCUUGAGUGCGGGAGAGGAGAGCGGAAUUCCUGGUGUAGCGGUGAAAUGCGUAGAUAUCAGGAGGAACACCGGCGGUGUAGACGGCUCUCUGGACCGUAACUGACGCUGAGAUACGAAAGCGUGGGUAGCAAACAGG